AGUGUGAGCAGGUGCAGAGCUG
Molecule: microRNA, 22 nt
Filed under: Gallus gallus (chicken)
Lineage: Eukaryota; Metazoa; Chordata; Aves; Galliformes; Phasianidae
Description: gga-miR-1601
Source: miRBase by way of RNAcentral